UUUCUGUUUGUGAUUCAUCCUUAGACGGAUGUUGAUCUUAUGUAUGAUGAUGUUGUAUAUGUGUGGCAUUGUAUGCCUUAUGUAUGUAUCCCCAUUUAUUAUGUAAUGUUGAUGUAAUGAUAUCCACCUUGCAAAAGCGUUUCAAUAUGCGGGUCUAUCCUUGGUGGGACCUUCGAGUUCCUUUUGGAUAGGGUCGCAUAUUGGGUGUGACAGCAGCCCAAAUCGGGCGGUAGACUCCGUCCAAGGCUAAAUACAGGCGAGAGACCGAUAGCGAACAAGUAGCACGAGGGAAAGAUGAAAAGGACUUUGAUAAGAGAGUGAAAGAGUGGUUGAAAUUGCCGGGAGGGAAGCAGAUGGGGGCCGGAGAUGCGCCCCGGCCAUAUGCGGAACGGCUUUUGCUGGUCCGCCGCUCGGCUUGGGGUGUGGACUGUUGUCGGCCACGCCGGCGGCCAAAGCUCGGGGGCCCUAGGUGCCCCUGGUGGCCGUCAUCAGCACGGCCAGUACCCGCGCGCCGAAAGGCGUGUCCCUCGGGGCACUGCGCUGCAACGGCCUGCGGGCUCCCCAUCCGACCCGUCUUGAAACACGGACCAAGGAGUCUGACAUGCGUGCGAGUCAACGGGUUCUGAAACCUGGGAUGCGCAAGGAAGCUGGCGAGCAGGAGGCCCUCACAGGCCGCACCGCUGGCCGACCCUGAUCUUCUGUGAAGGGUUCGAGUUGGAGCACGCCUGGCGGGACCCGAAAGAUGGUGAACUAUGCCUGAUCAGGGCGAAGCCAGAGGAAACUCUGGUGGAGGCUUGAAAGCGAUACUGAUGUGGAAAUCGUUCGUCUAACUUGGGUAUAGGGGCGAAAGACUAAUCGAACCAUCUAGUAGCUGGUUCCCUCCGAAGUUUCCCUCAGGAUAGCUGGAGCCCAUUACGAGUUCUAUCAGGUAAAGCCAAUGAUUAGAGGCAUUGGGGAUGCAACGUCCUCGACCUAUUCUCAAACUUUAAAUAGGUAGGAUGGCGCGGCUGCUUCGGUGAGCCGUGCCACGGAAUCGGGUGCUCCAAGUGGGCCAUUUUUGGUAAGCAGAACUGGUGAUGCGGGAUGAACCGGAAGCCGGGUUACGGUGCCCAACUGCGCGCUAACCUAGAACCCACAAAGGGUGUUGGUCGAUUAACACAGCAGGACAGUGGUCAUGGAAGUCGAAAUCCGCUAAGGAGUGUGUAACAACUCACCUGCCGAAUCAACUAGCCCCGAAAAUGGAUGGCGCUGAAGCGCGCGACCCACACCUAGCCAUCUGGGCGAGCACCAUGCCCCGAUGAGUAGGAGGGCGCGGCGGCCACUACAAAUCCCGGGUCGUGAGCCCGGGCGGAGCGACCGUCGGUGCAGAUCUUGGUGGUAGUAGCAAAUAUUCAAAUGAGAACUUUCAAGGCCGAAGAGGAGAAAGGUUCCAUGUGAAGGACACUUGCACAUGGGUAAGCCGAUCCUAAGGGACGGGGUAACCCCGGCAGAUAGCGCGAUCACGCGCAUCCCCCGAAAGGGAAUCGGGUUAAGGUUUCCCGAGCCGAGAUGUGGAGGUUGAUGGCGACGUUAGGAAGUCCGGAGACGCCAACGGAGGCCUUGGGAAGAGUUAUCUUUUCUACUUAACGGCCUGCCAACCCUGGAAAUCGUUCAGCCAGAGGUAGGGUCCAGUGGCCGGAAGAGCACCACACGUCGCGCGGUGUCCGGUGCGCCCCCGGCGGCCCCUGAAAAUCCGGAGGACCGAGUACCGUUCAUGCCUAGUCGUACUCAUAACUGCAUCAGGUCUCCAAGGUGAACAACCUCUGGCC
This is a non-coding RNA of Triticum aestivum (bread wheat), 1808 nucleotides long. NCBI's taxonomy places the organism in Eukaryota, Viridiplantae, Streptophyta, Magnoliopsida, Poales, Poaceae. The record is from Rfam.